This 252-nucleotide ribosomal RNA is filed under the name uncultured bacterium. RNAcentral describes it as "partial 16S ribosomal RNA". It matches the Rfam family "Bacterial small subunit ribosomal RNA", at positions 524 to 774 of the family's 1533-position model. The record is from RNAcentral.
UACGUAGGGGGCAAGCGUUAUCCGGAAUCAUUGGGCGUAAAGCGCGUGUAGGCGGUUCCGUAAGUCCGCUCUGAAAGCCCAGGGCUCAACCCUGGGAGGCGGGUGGAUACUACGGAACUGGAGUACGGGAAGAGGAGAUUGGAAUUCCGUGGUGUAGCGGUGAAAUGCGCAGAUAUCAGGAGGAACACCACAGCGAAGGCAGAUCUCUGGGACGUUACUGACGCUGAGACGCGAAAGCGUGGGGAGCAAACA